This 232-nucleotide long non-coding RNA is filed under the name Hordeum vulgare. Its description in RNAcentral is "long non-coding RNA (HVUL_LNC008241)". The record is from RNAcentral. Lineage: Eukaryota; Viridiplantae; Streptophyta; Magnoliopsida; Poales; Poaceae.
CUUGAAGCAGUAAAGUCCUUUAUGUGCAGCAGUUAAUUAAGCUUCCUUAUUGUUUUGUAGUUUUCUAGAAAGUACUUUCAUGAACUGGUUACACAUGUUUUUUAUUUUGAUAGCAGGCUUGAUAGAAAGUUUUGUUUUCUGUUGUUUUCAGUGAAUGAUUGGUGAAGUAACGAUUGAAGGAGAUAUUAAAUUGUUGUUUGUGAUAUCAAGUGGCUUGCCUACAAUAAAGGAC